RNAcentral lists this ribosomal RNA (441 nucleotides) under uncultured bacterium. Its description in RNAcentral is "partial 16S ribosomal RNA". It matches the Rfam family "Bacterial small subunit ribosomal RNA", at positions 338 to 795 of the family's 1533-position model. The record is from RNAcentral.
CCUACGGGAGGCAGCAGUGGGGAAUAUUGCACAAUGGGGGAAACCCUGAUGCAGCAACGCCGCGUGAGUGAAGAAGUAUUUCGGUAUGUAACGCUCUAUCAGCAGGGAAGAAGAAAGACGGUAACUGACUAAGAAGCCCCGGCUAACUACGUGCCAGCAGCCGCGGUAAGAAGUAGGGGGCAAGCGUUAACCGGAUUUACUGGGGGUAAAGGGAGCGUAGACGGCUGUGCAAGUCUGAAGGGAAAGCACGGGGCUCAACCGCGGAACUGCUUUGGAAACUGUAUAGCUUGAGUACUGGAGAGGCAGGCGGAAUUCCUAGUGUAGCGGUGAAAUGCUUAGAGAUCAUACAGAACACCGAUUGCGAAGGCAGCAUACCGGCGCGCAACUGACGCUCAUGCACGAAAGCGUGGGUAUCGAACAGGAUUAGAUACCCUUGUAGUC